AUGGGUGCCCAGUCGAUCCUGGAGACACACCUACCUGGGAACCCUUCAGCUGCUCCUGUGCCUCUGGUGUGGGGAGGGUGGGUAAGACCCAAGCUGCUCUGCUCACAUUGUAUCUGUUCAGGACCCAACCCUGCUCCUCGCCAUCACCAUCAUUGGCGUGACGGUGCUCAUGUUGGCCUUGAGGAACAAGAACUCAAGAAAAAAGCUUAUCACUUUACAGAACCCUGAAACCAAGUACCCUCUGCCCUUAAUUGAAAAAGAGCAAAUCAACCAUAACACCAGGAAGUUUCGCUUUGGACUGCCCUCAACAGACCAUGUCUUGGGCCUCCCAAUAGGUAACUAUGUCCAUCUCAUAGCCAAAAUUGAUGACGAUUUAGUGAUCAGGGCUUAUACCCCUGUCUCCUGUGAUGACGACCAAGGCUUCGUGGACUUAAUUAUAAAGAUCUACUUCAAAAAUGUACACCCCAACUAUCCUGAAGGGGGGAAGAUGACUCAAUACUUGGAAAACAUGAAAAUAGGGGACACCAUCCUUUUUCGAGGGCCAUCUGGACGCCUGUUCUACCAUGGUCCAGGAAAUCUUGAAGUCAGAACAGACAACACAAGUCAGCCUGAAAAAAAACUGGUCCUUCACCUGGGAAUGAUUGCUGGGGGGACAGGGAUCACACCCAUGCUGCAGCUCAUACGCCACAUCACCAGGAACCCCAGGGACACGACCAAGAUGUCCCUCAUCUUUGCCAACCAGACAGAGGAGGAUAUCUUGGUGAGACAGGAGCUUGAAGAAACAGCCAGAACUCAUCCAAGUCAAUUUAAGCUGUGGUACACCUUGGACAGGCCUCCCACCGGCUGGAUAUAUGACUCGGGCUUCAUUACUGCCAACAUGAUCAAGGAGCACCUCCCUCCUCCUGGGGGGUCCACACUUAUCCUGGUGUGUGGCCCACCCACCAUGAUCCAGAAUGCCAUUCACCCUAACCUAGAGAAACUGGAUUACACUAAGGACAUGAUUUUCACCUACUAA
RNA transcript from Elephantulus edwardii (Cape elephant shrew), 1015 nucleotides. It is a transcript of the gene named NADH-cytochrome b5 reductase 2-like, with no coding region annotated. The transcript has 9 exons. NCBI's taxonomy places the organism in Eukaryota, Metazoa, Chordata, Mammalia, Macroscelidea, Macroscelididae. The record is from RefSeq and is a predicted model, not a curated record.